RNAcentral lists this transfer RNA (104 nucleotides) under Dyadobacter chenhuakuii. RNAcentral's name for it is "tRNA-OTHER". Lineage: Bacteria; Pseudomonadati; Bacteroidota; Cytophagia; Cytophagales; Spirosomataceae. The record is from RNAcentral.
GACUGCGUAGUUCAACGGAUAGAAUAGGAGUUUGUCGAAUGCGACUCCAACUAAACUCUAGAUAUGGCCGGGUUCGCGCUCGAAUUCGAUUCCCGUCGCGGUCA